RNAcentral lists this ribosomal RNA (460 nucleotides) under uncultured bacterium. Its description in RNAcentral is "partial 16S ribosomal RNA". It matches the Rfam family "Bacterial small subunit ribosomal RNA", at positions 338 to 795 of the family's 1533-position model. The record is from RNAcentral.
CCUACGGGUGGCAGCAGUGAGGAAUAUUGGUCAAUGGACGAGAGUCUGAACCAGCCAAGUAGCGUGAAGGAUGACUGCCCUAUGGGUUGUAAACUUCUUUUAUAUGGGAAUAAAACGUUCCACGUGUGGGAUUUUGUAUGUACCAUAUGAAUAAGGAUCGGCUAACUCCGUGCCAGCAGCCGCGGUAAUACGGAGGAUCCGAGCGUUAUACGGAUUUAUUGGGUUUAAAGGGAGCGUAGGUGGAUUGUUAAGUCAGUUGUGAAAGUUUGCGGCUCAACCGUAAAAUUGCAGUUGAAACUGGCAGUCUUGAGUACAGUAGAGGUGGGCGGAAUUCGUGGUGUAGCGGUGAAAUGCUUAGAUAUCACGAAGAACUCCGAUUGCGAAGGCAGUUCACUGGACUGCAACUGACACUGAGGCUCGAAAGUGUGGGUAUCAAACAGGAUUAGAUACCCCAGUAGUC